Molecule: non-coding RNA, 4006 nt
Organism: Callithrix jacchus (white-tufted-ear marmoset)
Lineage: Eukaryota; Metazoa; Chordata; Mammalia; Primates; Cebidae
Source: RefSeq, a predicted model, not a curated record
CUGAGACCGGGCUCCGGAGCGGAGACCCGUCCGGGAGACCCGAAACGCCCCCACCUGGGGAACUUCUCCGCGGACUUGUGGGGCUCUCGGGACGCAGGAUCGCCCCAGCAGCGGCCUCGGCCCCGGGAGUUCUGCUGGGAGCGGGGAGGCCCUGGCGUCUCAGGUGAGUCCGCUGUUCCCUAGACCUGCGGGACACCCGGAGGCUGCACUCAUCCGGCGGGGCCUCUGAGGCCCAGCGGCCUCGCUCGCCUCCCUAGAGACAGUGGGCUCGCCAGCGUGCAGGGUCCCAGGGAGAAGAAACUGCUGGGAAGGCACCGGAUAGCCAACGACCAAGCCUGGCUGACGGGGGCUCAAGAGCUUGUACCCGAGAAGCCACGGCGCAGAGCCCAUCGCGGAGGCCGCAGCCCACCCUAAGAGGUGGGCUGGCUGUGCAGGUGAACCCAUAGGCCGUCCACUUAGCAUCAAUGUGAUCUUGGACAAAUGACUGUCCUGGCGGAGGGCAGGCGCUCCACCUGUAAAAUGGGGGAACUGUGGUAUCUACCCCGUGGGGCUGAUUUGAGGAUGAGGGCAGCUUUUGCUGUACAACAAGCUGUCCAUAAACGUUCGUUUUUAUGAGCCCAGGGCCUGCCACGUGGUAGGCGUUCACUAGAUCAUGUACACUCUUAAAAGCACCACUGAGCUAGGACCAGCAGUGGGAAAGUGAGUUGAAUCAUCCUCACCCCUGCUGCCUGGAGGAGCUUGGCAUCCUAUGGAUAAUUACCUGGAGCACCCUGGAGAUUUAUGGAAAUGUUCACACCAUGAGCAAGCAAUUAUGAAGGGUGAGGAUCGCUGCUAGAUCUCUCCUCUCAUCCCUCCCAGGAUCCACUGGUCCCGCUGGCCCACUUGCAGCUGCUUACUAUAUAGGAAGUGAAACAGAAAGCUCUAGAAGGCCUUGAGGUGGGAAGGAAGCUGCUUCUCUGAUGCUCAGUUCCAGGAGCCGUCUCUUGUCGCGCCGAGUCUGUGGCUUGGCAGCUGGAGGUGUGAGUCACCCCUAAUGGAGGUGGGAGAAUGGAGGUGUGGAGGAAGGCCCAAUCCAACAAACCACAUCCAUGUUCUCAAGAGCACCUGCCAACAGCCCCUCUUGGAACCUGGGGAUCAGCGUCCCACACAGCCUUCCCUUUGCUACACUAGAUACAGCUUCACCUCCCUGCCUGACACUGCCAAGCGGAGUCAGCUGCUUGGGCAGUCACUCCAGUCCUGCCCAUGCUGCAGAAGACAGGCACCGUGUGUCCCUCCUACAGAUGGAAUGGAUGCUCUUCAGCCGCUGCCAAUGGAGAGACAGGAGGCUCUCAUGCAAACUGGCAGCCGUAGAGGAGAACCUGCCACACCUGUUGGACAGAAACAGUACCCAGAACCCUCAGCCUGCCUCUGCCCGAUAUGGCCCUGGCUGCCUGGCCAACUGGCUUAUAGAAGAGGGACACUGGCCUGAGUCAAGGGGACCGGGUUGGAGGCAUUGUGUUGUCACCUGGCAGCAGUAUGUCUGGGCAACAUGUGUUAUCUCUCUUCUUCUUCCCCUCCUGGCCGGAUGCCCCUCAGAUUCAUCCUGGAUCUGGUGCUGUUCUUCUUUGAGUAUAUGGCCUGCUUCAAGAUAGUGUACACUGCACAUCAGCUAAGUAAUUAUAAAGCAGCUCGUGCCUCCCAAGACGGAGCCCCCGAAACACAGUGAUUUUGACAGGCAGAGAUAAGGGCGUUUCCAUAAUAAUGUGGUAGAUUAAGGGAUUCAGCCUGCUGAACUGAGGGGAGACUAAAAUGCAUCUGAAUUUUUAUUUGGAGAGAUCUGAAUUUAUUUUAUUAACAAGUCUGGUCCUCUGGGGCCAAACUUUCCAUUUGUCAUGGAAGUGCCCGGCAAAAUCUUGACUCCAAUGUUGUAGAAAGACCAGCUUCCCAAAAUGAACAUUCUAAAUCAAAUCGCCUCCUGUGAGUUUCCUAUUGAUUUACACGGUGACAGGAUUAGCUCAAUCACAGGAGUACUGGCCCUUUUCAUUGUGAUAGGAUCUGUAAUAAAACUUGGCUAGUCGUCCUGCAGGGAGGGGAUUUAUUACUCAGGCUCCAGCUCUCCACAUGGCCCCCGAGGUCUACACCACUCUGUGGGGAGGAAGGGGGGUGCUGAUUCUGUAAAUUGAGGUCUUUGUGCCUCAAGAGAGACAGGAUAUGGACCAGAAAGGUGAUUGGAGCCUGGUCAUAUUUUGGAAGUUUGUGUUUUUUUUUUUUUUUUUUUUUUUUUUUUUGAGACAGAGUCUUGCUCUGUCGCCAGGCUGGAGUGCGGUGGCACUUUCUCAACUCACUGCAACCUCUGCCUCCCAGGUUCAAGCAGUUUUCCUGCCUCAGCCUCCUGAGUAGCUGGGACUACAGGUGCUCACCACCAUGCCCGGCUAAUUUUUGUAUUUUUAGUAGAGAUGGGCUUUCCCCAUGUUGGCUAGGAUGGACUCAAUCUCUUGACCUCAUGAUCCACCCAUUUCAGCCUCCCAAAGUGCUGGGAUUACAGGCUUGAACCACUGAGAGCCCAGCCAGUUUUGUGAUAUUUAUGCUAACAUCUUCUCAAAUCAGAAAAGAGAAGACCUUGAAUAAUGUCUUCUCAUGCCCACCACUGAUCCCUUUACAGCGAGCAUGGGAUUGUCCAGCCAGAGCCUGGGAAUACCUAUGCAGCCAAGAACACGGCACAGCAGGAGCCUCUGCACAGCCUUCUAGAGUGUAAUAAGAGACUUUGAUGCAGAAAUUGCCUCUGUGUAGGGAAUAGACACUUGACUGAACAAUUGCAUUGUUGGCAAUACGCUAGGUUCAGCAGGCCAGAGUGGCAUCCCUUGAAAAACGUGAUGGACAUCACCUUCCAGAUACCAGAGAUGAGCGUGGACUCAAAGCCCAGCUUUGUUACCUACUCGUGUGCAGCCUCAGGAAAGUUGUUUCAGUUUGCUCUGCUGAAAGUCGUAGUAGUGCUGCUGUUACUGCAUGCAGAGGUGUUGUGAGGGCGACAGGAGCUGUAUGUGCAGAGCCUGGCACCAAGCAAGCACUCCAUAAAUAGUGGCAACAGUGACCGCUGCUGACCAGGAGCUCCCCAGUGGGAUAGAGUAGUUAGGGCUGAAUACUCUGGCCUUCUCUGGAUGAGGGUUCGCUGUCCUCAUCUCUGCCUGGGUGCACACUUUCUCACGUUUUAACAUCCCCAAAUCAAGAAACAUCUCACGAUUGGUGUUUUGCAAUCACUACUGUCCUGGGCUGAAUUUGAGAUCUUCCAGAGAGGGUUUGUAUUUGCUUCUGCCUAGUGGUCUGGGGACUCGGCUCCUGAAAUGCCUUGGGCAUCUGCUGAGUAUUGUAACCCCAGAGUGAGAACCAGCUUAUGGUUCUAAUGAUCAGUGCAAGGCAUGUCUCCCUAUUUCUCUCUCCCCUCACCAGGGCCAAGACAGAGACCUGAAGAUUUCCUUGCUGUUCCUCUCCAUGGUGGGUUUAUUUCUCAUUUCUCCGGUACUGACAGUGGAGCCUUUUUUUUUUUUUUGAGAUGUAGUUUCACUCUUUUCACCCAGGCUGGAGUGCAAUGGUGCAGUCUCACUCACUGCAACCUCUACCUCCCGGGUUCGAGCAAUUCUCUUGUCUCAGUCUCCCGAGUAGUUGGGAUUACAAGUGUCCGCCACCAUGCCCAGCUAAUUUUCAUGUUAUUAGUAGAGACAGGAUUUCACCCUGUUGGCCAGGCUGGUCUUGAACUCCUGACCUCAGGUGAUCUGCCAGUUUCAGCCUCCCAAAGUGCUGGGAUUACAGGCAUGAGCCACCACGCCCAGCCGGCAGUAGAGCCUUUCAUUGUUCAUCUUUAGAGAGGCACCUCCGGUGAGACUUUCCAUCUUGGACAUUUUUUUUUCCCUAGAAAUACAUUAAAUAAUGACACCUCUUUCAGUUGAGGGUGUCUCUUAGAUUUGAUGACAUAUGAUAUGAAUGCCUUUGAGACAUAUUGCAGUAAAGAAAGCUAUUGAAUUCUUCCAGA